This 430-nucleotide ribosomal RNA is filed under the name uncultured bacterium. RNAcentral describes it as "bacterial SSU rRNA". It matches the Rfam family "Bacterial small subunit ribosomal RNA", at positions 354 to 796 of the family's 1533-position model. The record is from RNAcentral.
GUGGGGAAUAUUGCACAAUGGACGGAAGUCUGAUGCAGCAACGCCGCGUGCGGGAUGACGGCCUUCGGGUUGUAAACCGCUUUCAUCCAUGACGAAGCGAGAGUGACGGUAGUGGGAGAAGAAGCACCGGCUAACUACGUGCCAGCAGCCGCGGUGAUACGUAGGGUGCGAGCGUUGUCCGGAUUUAUUGGGCGUAAAGAGCUUGUAGGCGGUUUGUUGCGUCGGGAGUGAAAACUCAGGGCUUAACCCUGAGCCUGCUUUCGAUACGGGCAGACUUGAGGAAGGUAGGGGAGAAUGGAAUUCCUGGUGAAGCGGUGGAAUGCGUAGAUAUCAGGAGGAACACCAGUGGCGAAGGCGGUUCUCUGGACCUUUCCUGACGCUGAGAAGCGAAAGCGUGGGGAGCAAACAGGCUUAGAAACCCUGGUAGUCC